Molecule: long non-coding RNA, 231 nt
Filed under: Lathyrus oleraceus (garden pea)
Lineage: Eukaryota; Viridiplantae; Streptophyta; Magnoliopsida; Fabales; Fabaceae
Description: Pisum sativum (pea) long non-coding RNA (PSAT_LNC030420)
Source: RNAcentral
UUGGUAGUACAUUUCCCAAGCAGAUAUCGGUGUCUGAUCCCUCAAUAUAGAGUCAGCCCAUUAAGCAGAAAGUGUUUAUCUUUCCUUCCGCAUUCCCAACUGAGUUAUAUCCUCGUGGACGACGGUUGUUUUUGCCUCCUCCUGACACAUAUAUUGGGAUGAGUUUCCUUGUUGAGUUAUAUCCUCACUAGGACGAGUCUUGAUUCAGUUUGCCUUUUUUAGUUUGAUCCU